This 1497-nucleotide ribosomal RNA is filed under the name Plasmodium sp. Its description in RNAcentral is "SSU rRNA". It matches the Rfam family "Eukaryotic small subunit ribosomal RNA", at positions 162 to 1439 of the family's 1831-position model. Lineage: Eukaryota; Apicomplexa; Aconoidasida; Haemosporida; Plasmodiidae. The record is from RNAcentral.
AGCUAAUACUUGCUUUAGCACUCUUGAUUAAGUUCUUGAGUGUGUACUUGUUAAGCCUUUUAAGAAAAAAGUUAUUAACUUAAGGAAUUAUAACAAAGAAGUAACACGUAAAUGGAUUUUCCAUUUUUUAGUGUGUAUCAAUCGAGUUUCUGACCUAUCAGCUUUUGAUGUUAGGGUAUUGGCCUAACAUGGCUAUGACGGGUAACGGGGAAUUAGAGUUCGAUUCCGGAGAGGGAGCCUGAGAAAUAGCUACCACAUCUAAGGAAGGCAGCAGGCGCGUAAAUUACCCAAUUCUAAAGAAGAGAGGUAGUGACAAGAAAUAACAAUACAAGGCCAAUCUGGCUUUGUAAUUGGAAUGAUGGGAAUUUAAAACCUUCCCAAAACUCAAUUGGAGGGCAAGUCUGGUGCCAGCAGCCGCGGUAAUUCCAGCUCCAAUAGCGUAUAUUAAAAUUGUUGCAGUUAAAACGCUCGUAGUUGAAUUUCAAAGAAUCGAUAUUUUAAGUAACGCUUUGUAGAUUAAUCCACAUAACUGAUACUACGUAUCGACUUUGUGCGCAUUUUUCUACUUAUGUGUUCUUUUAAUUAAAAUGAUUCUUUUUAAGAUCUUUCUUUUUUGCUUCGGCAUUUUAGGAGAUCUUGUUACUUUGAGUAAAUUAGAGUGUUCAAAGCAAACAGAUUAUAGCAUCUUUAUGCGUUUGAAUACUACAGCAUGGAAUAACAAGAUUGAACAAGUCAGAAUUUUGUUCUUUUUUCUUAUUUUGGCUUAGUUACGAUUAAUAGGAGUAGCUUGGGGGCAUUUGUAUUCAGAUGUCAGAGGUGAAAUUCUUAGAUUUUCUGGAGACAAACAACUGCGAAAGCAUUUGCCUAAAAUACUUCCAUUAAUCAAGAACGAAAGUUAAGGGAGUGAAGACGAUCAGAUACCGUCGUAAUCUUAACCAUAAACUAUGCCGACUAGGCUUUGGAUGAAAGAUUUUAAAAUAAGAGUUUUUUCUCUGAGGAGUUAAAACUCUUAGAUUGCUUCCUUCAGUGCCUUAUGAGAAAUCAAAGUCUUUGGGUUCUGGGGCGAGUAUUCGCGCAGGCGAGAAAGUUAAAAGAAUUGACGGAAGGGCACCACCAGGCGUGGAGCUUGCGGCUUAAUUUGACUCAACACGGGAAAACUCACUAGUUUAAGACAAGAGUAGGAUUGACAGAUUAAUAGCUCUUUCUUGAUUUCUUGGAUGGUGAUGCAUGGCCGUUUUUAGUUCGUGAAUAUGAUUUGUCUGGUUAAUUCCGAUAACGAACGAGAUCUUAACCUGCUAAUUAGCGGCAAAUACGAUAUAUUCUUAUGUGGAAUUGAAUAUAGUUGAUUUGCUUAUUUUGAAGAAAAUAUUGGGAUACGUAAAUGUAUCCCUUUCCCUUUUCUACUUAAUUUGCUUAUUAUACUAUUUCUUUUUUGCGUAAGAAUGUAUUUGCUUGAUUGUAAAGCUUCUUAGAGGAACGAUGUGUGUCUAACACAAG